RNAcentral lists this ribosomal RNA (433 nucleotides) under uncultured bacterium. RNAcentral describes it as "partial 16S ribosomal RNA". It matches the Rfam family "Bacterial small subunit ribosomal RNA", at positions 29 to 507 of the family's 1533-position model. The record is from RNAcentral.
AACGAACGCUGGCGGCAUGCCUAACACAUGCAAGUCGAACGAGACCUUCGGGUCUAGUGGCGCACGGGUGCGUAACGCGUGGGAACCUGCACUUAGGUUCGGAAUAACUCCCCGAAAGGGGUGCUAAUACCGGAUAAUGUCUUCGGACCAAAGAUUUAUCGCCUUUGGAUGGGCCCGCGUUGGAUUAGCUAGUUGGUAGGGUAAAAGCUUACCAAGGCGUCGAUGCAUAGCUGGUCUGAGAGGAUGAUCAGCCACACUGGGACUGAGACACGGCCCAGACUCCUACGCGAGGGAGGAGUGGGGAAUAUUGGACGAUGGGCGAAGGCCUGAUCCAGCAAUGCCGCGUGAGUGAUGAAGGCCUUAGGGUUGUAAAGCUCUUUUACCCGGGAUGAUAAUGACGGUACCGGGAGAAUAAGCUCCGGCUAACUCCGUG